GAAAGGACUGGGCUAGGGGCAUCUGCUGCUGCUGUUAAUGAUCCUCAAGCCUCUAUAGGGGUUGCUGUCAGGGAGGGAGGGCUGGCAGGUCCACGCUUCCAAUUUCCCAGAAUUGUUCCUUCUCUAGGGCAUCUCCUCAUCCCAGUUCCCAACCAACAGCUAAGAUAAUCCACCUUUUUUGUUUUUAAAUCCCUGAAAUCUGCCUGAGUUGGGCUCUGGUGAUGUGUCCCUGAUGUUUGAAGGGUUGCGUGCAUUAAUAAUGGGCUCUGAUGAUGUGUCUUUUACCCUGGGUUGUAGCUUGGUGACAGACAGCAGUAUCAGCAAGAACCAGCCACUACCUGGGAGCUACCCAAACAUACUCCCAGGAGCAGCUUUAGACUGUGAGGAAUGGCCUUCUCUGCUGAACCAGCCAGUACUCAGGAAUGGUCCUCCGUGAUGAGGAAGAGGGACAGUGGCCCCAGUCGACUCACACCUGAACCAAGGCAACCUCCCAGCAUCGCAGACCUCCAGCGCAGCUCAUCUCCCACUACUCCAGAAACAAUCCCCAGCCCUUGUUACUUUUAUCGACCAGGAGGAGAGGACGCUACCAGAUCCUGCUGCACCGAGUCAGCUUUGGAGGGUGUUAUGUUUAUCUCCUUCCCUUGAGUCAGUCUGACCCUCUGAGCCUUUCAGGCAAACAGACCCCAAUGUCCUUUCCUCUGUUAUGCUUUCUUGACCCCAGGAGAUCCUGGAGAGGGCCUUCCCUUCUCCUAUAUCUACAGAUCUUAUACCUUUCCCAUGAUUCCUGAUACCCUGUCCCUUUUUCCUGGUGUCUUUCUGGAAUGAUCAGCAAGGAGAUAAGGAACUUCCCUCCUGAUCUAGAAAUACUGAGCCAAACUGGACAGGAAAUUCCAACAAUUUCUCUCUUUAUUACCUCAAAAAUACUUCAAUUGUUUAAUUUUUGAAAAAGCUUGCCUGCCAUAAGAGCUAUUAUAGUAAGUGCUAUUGAGCUCUCAAUAUGCGCCAGACAUGUUCUGACUGUUAUACAUGAAUUAACUCAAUUAAUCCUCCUAACAAUGCUACAGGAUAGGGACUACCAAUCACCCCCAUUUUAUAGGUGAAAAAACUGAGGCAGACAACUCAGUAAUUUGUUCAAGGCCACAGCCAGCUAGCAGAAGAGCUGGGGUUCGAACACAGGUGUGCUCUGUACUCAGUGUCUAUGCUCCUAGACGCUCUGCAGUAGUGCCUAUAACAGCGUCAGUGCAAAGGGGAAAACCACAAUGAAAAGAGAAAAAGCAUAGGGCAAGCCUCCUACAUGCAGUGGGGUGGGGGCUGCAAAUAUGUACAUAACUUUUAAUGUAUGCUUUUAUGUUUUAUUCCAUCACAUCCUCUAUUUCCCUGUAGUGUUUUCUGUCUUAUAGGACAGGGAUUAUAUCUAUCUGACUUUUUGUAGAGCUAGUUACGUGUCAUAUGCAGAUGAAUACAUAUGCGGUGGAGACCACAGAUCAUUAAUACAUUAAUGAAUUAUUAAUAUACUAUUUUUAGUUUCUCCUAUACAACUUCCUAUGCAUGCUGUAAAUGCAACAGUAAUUAAAAUAGCUCACAUUUAUCCAGCACUUAUUAUAUUCUUCUUCUGGUAAACACUCUACCUUAUCCUAUGGAAACAUGUAGUUGAGAUAGGUGCAUAUAUUGUCUCAUCCAACACAUCUGGAAAUGGCAGCUUAAGGAAGGAUGGUAACAUACUCAACCUCACACAUGUAGAAUGAGUAGGAGCCGGGGUCUAAACCUGGCCCCAGACCUCUGGGUUUCAAACAUACAGAAAGGAGAAACAAAUACAUUUUGGUAUAAUGAUGUUUGUACACGGGACUCAAAGAACAGAGCAGCUAAUGCUGCCCAAAGAAACUGAGUUUUGUGAAGUAUUUACAUGAGUUGGGUGACAAUGGAAUAACUGGAAUUUUCCAGGCAAAAAAUAUGAAUGGAGGAAAGCUUUCUGGCAGGAGGGUAAGUACAAAGGACCAGGCAUCUCCAGGGAAAAGAGGCAAUCUGAAUUUGGCAGGAACAUUUAACUUCAAGGAGAGUGGCUGAAGAUGAUGCUAGAGUCUGCAACAAGCUCGGGAACGAUUUCUAUGCCUGGAGAAAGAACUUGAGCUUUAUUUAUAAGCAGUGGGAAGUCAAGAAGAGCUUUCAGGCAGGGAAUGACAUGCUAACUUUAAAAGAUGUUUCUCAGGGCAGAGUGAGAAUGGACUUCAGUGUGCUGAGGAGUGUGGGUGGGGGUAGACAGAUGAGCCAGGCCCACUCACAUGGUGGUGAGUAGUAAUGUCUCAGAAGGUGUCAGCUUAGCUCCAAGUCUCCUUCAGGAGGAGCUGGUCCAGGGCUGCCAUAAGCCUGCAGUGUCUUCCCAAAAAGGUGGAAAGAGGCUCCCCUGCCUCCCAACAGCUCUUUCAAGCUCAGACACUUGCUAAACUUGGCCAGCAGAGUGCAGACUCAGUCUUAGACUCCUUCCUCCAUCCCCUUGGUUGUGGGACCUGGACUCCUUAGGCAGGACCUGAAGGGAAGCUUCUCCUAAGCACAUGGAUGGGGAGACAGGGUGCCAGAGCCAAAGGUAAGGUGUGUGCCUGGCACAGCCACCCUGUAGCAAGGAAAAGCUGUUGAGUGUGACCCCUAAAGGCACACGCUUGGUGAAGCCAACAAACGUGGCUUCGUGACCCUGAGCAAGUUAUAUGAUUUCUCUAAGCCUCAGUUUGCUCAUCUGUUAAGUGGAGAAGGUAACUGUCUACCUGUUUGGGUUGCUGUGAGAAUUAAAUGAGAUCAUAAUGCACACAAAGGCCUUAACUCCGUGAGCACACGAUAUACACUGCCUGUUAGCUGUUAGUGUGCCUGCUAUCCCAACCACGAGUGAAAGCCCUUCUAGGCCUAGAAAAAGUUAUUGGCUAUACAUGCGCUUGAGUUAGCUGUCACCUGCCCUUAUCGCCUGCUCCCCCAAACCUCAGUAGGAGGAAGACUGGCAUCCAGAGACAGAUGGCAGUCAUGGGAACUGGAUAUAUCACAGCAUUCCAGGGUUGGCUCUGUCUACUGACUUCAUCAUAGCAGACAAUACGGUCAUAGGGCAGGGUCACUGGAGGAA
This 3103-nucleotide long non-coding RNA is filed under the name Canis lupus familiaris (dog). Its description in RNAcentral is "lncRNA (ENSCAFG00040011402.1)". The record is from RNAcentral. Lineage: Eukaryota; Metazoa; Chordata; Mammalia; Carnivora; Canidae.